This 72-nucleotide transfer RNA is filed under the name Aureliella helgolandensis. Its description in RNAcentral is "Planctomycetes bacterium Q31a tRNA-Ile". The stretch from base 3 to 62 matches the Rfam family "tRNA", at positions 7 to 64 of the family's 71-position model. Rfam says of the family: Transfer RNA (tRNA) molecules are approximately 80 nucleotides in length. Their secondary structure includes four short double-helical elements and three loops (D, anti-codon, and T loops). The record is from RNAcentral. Lineage: Bacteria; Pseudomonadati; Planctomycetota; Planctomycetia; Pirellulales; Pirellulaceae.
AAGUAGCUCAGCGGGUAGAGCAUCAGGCUAAUAACCUGACGGUCACGGGUUCGACUCCCGUCGAUGCACCAA